UACGUAGGGGGCAAGCGUUGUCCGGAUUUAUUGGGCGUAAAGAGCGUGUAGGCGGCCAGACAGGUCCGUUGUGAAAACUCGAGGCUCAACCUCGAGACGCCGAUGGAAACCGUCUGGCUAGAGUCCGGAAGAGGAGAGUGGAAUUCCUGGUGUAGCGGUGAAAUGCGCAGAUAUCAGGAAGAACACCCGUGGCUAAGGCGGCUCUCUAGUACGGUACUGACGCUGAGACGCGAAAGCGUGGGUAGCGAACAGG
This 253-nucleotide ribosomal RNA is filed under the name uncultured bacterium. Its description in RNAcentral is "partial 16S ribosomal RNA". It matches the Rfam family "Bacterial small subunit ribosomal RNA", at positions 524 to 776 of the family's 1533-position model. The record is from RNAcentral.